This 440-nucleotide ribosomal RNA is filed under the name uncultured Sphingomonadaceae bacterium. RNAcentral's name for it is "partial 16S ribosomal RNA". The record is from RNAcentral. Lineage: Bacteria; Pseudomonadati; Pseudomonadota; Alphaproteobacteria; Sphingomonadales; Sphingomonadaceae.
GACUACUAGGGUAUCUAAUCCUGUUUGCUCCCCACGCUUUCGUACCUCAGCGUCAAGAAUGGUCCAGUAAGCCGCCUUCGCCACUGGUGUUCUUCCGAAUAUCUACGAAUUUCACCUCUACACUCGGAAUUCCACUUACCUCUCCCAUCUUCAAGCGAUCCAGUCUCAAAGGCAGUUCCACGAUUGAGUCGUGGGAUUUCACCUCUGACUUAGAAAGCCGCCUACGUACGCUUUACGCCCAGUAAUUCCGAACAACGCUAGCCCCCUCCGUAUUACCGCGGCUGCUGGCACGGAGUUAGCCGGGGCUUAUUCUCCCGGUACAGUCAUUAUCUUCCCGGGUAAAAGAGCUUUACAACCCGAAGGCCUUCUUCACUCACGCGGCAUUGCUGGAUCAGGCUUUCGCCCAUUGUCCAAUAUUCCCCACUGCAGCCGCCCGUAGG